CCUACGGGUGGCAGCAGUGAGGAAUAUUGGUCAAUGGACGAGAGUCUGAACCAGCCAAGUAGCGUGAAGGAUGACUGCCCUAUGGGUUGUAAACUUCUUUUAUAUGGGAAUAAAAUGUUCCACGUGUGGGAUUUUGUCUGUACCAUAUGAAUAAGGAUCGGCUAACUCCGUGCCAGCAGCCGCGGUAAUACGGAGGAUCCGAGCGUUAUCCGGAUUUAUUGGGUUUAAAGGGAGCGUAGGUGGAUUGUUAAGUAAGUUGUGAAAGUUUGCGGCUCAACCGUAAAAUUGCAGUUGAAACUGGCAGUCUUGAGUACAGUAGAGGUGGGCGGAAUUCGUGGUGUAGCGGUGAAAUGCUUAGAUAUCAAGAAGAACUCCGAUUGCGAAGGCAGUUCACUGGACUGCAACUGACACUGAGGCUCGAAAGUGUGGGUAUCAAACAGGAUUAGAUACCCGUGUAGUC
This 460-nucleotide ribosomal RNA is filed under the name uncultured bacterium. Its description in RNAcentral is "partial 16S ribosomal RNA". It matches the Rfam family "Bacterial small subunit ribosomal RNA", at positions 338 to 795 of the family's 1533-position model. The record is from RNAcentral.